This 346-nucleotide RNase P RNA is filed under the name Fastidiosipila sanguinis. RNAcentral describes it as "RNase P RNA component class A". It matches the Rfam family "Bacterial RNase P class A". Rfam says of the family: Ribonuclease P (RNase P) is a ubiquitous endoribonuclease, found in archaea, bacteria and eukarya as well as chloroplasts and mitochondria. Its best characterised activity is the generation of mature 5'-ends of tRNAs by cleaving the 5'-leader elements of precursor-tRNAs. Cellular RNase Ps are ribonucleoproteins. Lineage: Bacteria; Bacillati; Bacillota; Clostridia; Eubacteriales; Oscillospiraceae. The record is from RNAcentral.
UGAGAUAGUUGGACAAUCGCGGGCAGAUACCGAAAGGUACUGCGUGAGGAAAGUCCGGGCUCUUUAGAACCAAGGGUGCCGGGUAACUCCCGGUGAAGGUGACUUUAAGGAAAGUGCAACAGAAAUAUACCGCCAAUUUAUUGGUAAGGGUGGAAAGGUAGUGUAAGAGACUACCGGCUUUUUGGUAACAAGAAGCGUCCAUGUAAACCCCAUCCGGAGCAACAUCGUGGAGGAACAUAUGCUGAGGUUCAAGCGUUCCUAGGAGAUGGCUGGAACCAUUUAGAGAUAUUUGGUCUAGAUAAAUGAUUGUCCUCGACAGAACCCGGCUUAUAGAUUAUCUCAGUAU